CCAUUGAUAACGUGAAAGCCAAGAUUCAAGACAAGGAGGGUAUCCCACCUGACCAGCAGAGACUUAUCUUUGCGGGUAAGCAACUCGAGGAUGGUCGCACUCUUGCCGAUUACAAUAUCCAAAAGGAAUCCACUCUCCACCUCGUGCUUCGCCUCAGGGGUGGCAUGCAAAUCUUUGUCAAGACCUUGACUGGGAAGACCAUUACCCUUGAGGUCGAGAGUUCAGACACCAUUGAUAAUGUCAAGGCCAAGAUCCAAGACAAAGAGGGCAUCCCUCCAGACCAGCAGAGGCUGAUUUUCGCUGGGAAGCAACUUGAGGACGGAAGAACCCUUGCUGAUUACAAUAUUCAAAAGGAGUCAACCCUCCACUUGGUGCUUCGUUUAAGGGGUGGCAUGCAAAUCUUUGUCAAGACUUUGACCGGGAAAACCAUUACCUUGGAGGUGGAGAGUUCAGACACCAUUGAUAAUGUGAAAGCCAAGAUUCAGGAUAAGGAGGGUAUUCCCCCAGACCAGCAGAGGCUUAUCUUUGCCGGGAAACAGCUUGAAGAUGGAAGAACCCUUGCGGAUUAUAAUAUCCAGAAAGAAUCUACUCUGCACUUGGUUUUGAGGCUUCGUGGUGGAAUGCAAAUUUUUGUAAAGACGUUGACAGGAAAGACCAUUACUUUGGAGGUUGAAAGUUCUGACACCAUCGAUAAUGUGAAGGCAAAGAUUCAGGACAAGGAAGGCAUACCACCAGAUCAACAGAGGCUUAUCUUUGCUGGGAAGCAGCUGGAAGAUGGGCGUACCCUUGCUGAUUAUAACAUCCAGAAGGAAUCCACUCUGCACCUGGUGUUGAGGCUUCGUGGUGGAAUGCAGAUAUUUGUGAAGACUCUGACAGGGAAAACCAUUACCUUGGAGGUGGAGAGCUCUGAUACAAUUGAUAAUGUGAAAGCAAAGAUUCAGGACAAAGAAGGCAUCCCACCAGAUCAGCAGAGGCUUAUUUUUGCUGGGAAACAAUUGGAAGAUGGUCGCACCUUGGCAGACUACAAUAUUCAGAAGGAAUCCACCCUCCACCUUGUCCUUCGCCUUCGCGGUGGUUUCUAAGCUUUUCAAUUGUCCAAGUGUUCUUUCUUUGUACCCUUGAUCAUUAGCUUGUGCAUGUACUGCUGUCUGUGUUUCAAACUGAUAUAGUGAACUCGUGUGUUCUGAAAUCAAAUAAAAAAUAUCUUUUUCGUUUCACAAAUUACUUUCAUCAGAAAUUUGCACCACUCUUUGGUUAUUGAAUCUUGAUUAGGCAGAUUUUUUUUUUUUUUCUGGGACUGAACUUUGGAAAGCCUAAAUUAGAGUAAGCAAGCCUGACCCCUGUACUGUUUAUUUAUUGAUUAGGGCUUGUGCCAUUAGUCCCUGUUCCUCAACUUAACCAGAUCAGUUGUUUGGGUCAUGAUAUGAGACCAGGUCAUCCCUUUGCUCGACACUUGAUAUAUCAUAAUGUGUUAUAACUUCCUUCCUAACGAGGAACCAGUGUGAGAGAUAAAGAAGCGUUAUGAGAUAAUUUUGGAAUUGUAUUCUUACAUUAUUUUAGUAAAUAAUUUAUUUUAUAUACAAUGAUUACUGUUUUGUCGAUACUGGACUUCUGGUUCGUAUAAUGUGGGUCUCCAAGUUUCAUAUUCUUUUACUCGCAAGCGUCGUAUUAUUUUGCCUGCUGUUUGUGUUCGAUGUUUUAAUGAAAAUAUAGUUUAUUUUGAAUGCUAUCUAAAUAUCAUUGGAUAUUUUAUUGAACUGAGUUAGUUUGCCUUAUUAAUUAUUAUUCACUCCUAAAAUUAGUAUUAAAAUAUCUAUUUUAAUAUUAAUUAUAACAAUGAAUCUUCUAUUUUCUAUGUAUAUAUAACAAUUGUUGUAAUUUUUAACUAAACAAUUUUAUCUUUUAAUGAAUAAAAAUAUUCUUUUCUUUAAUAAAAUGCAUAACUACACAAACAAUACAUUUAGAUAAUGAUACUAUAUCGGUUAUAAAAAUAAACAAUAUAAAACAUAUUUCUUUCAAUAUUUAUUGAAAGAAUUUAAGCUGAAUCUGUAUCAAUUAAUUAAAAUGAAAAUUUUAAAAUACGAUGAAGUCUGUCUUAUAGUAAUAUUUAUAUAAUAUUAGCGAUACAAUAGUUUCUAUUCUCUUUUCAAAAGUUUAUCAAUAGGUGGGGCAAAUUUAUUAAUAUUUGAACCCAAAAUUUACGGUUGACAUCAUAGUUAGAGAUGGUAUGUAUAAAUGAUGUGUAUUCUAACGAUAAAUCAAAUGUCUAAUUGAAUAUUUGCGUAUAUAUUUUGGAUAGAUGUCCAUUAAAAUAUGAUCAUGAUAAUAUAUUAAAAACGAAAGAAAUAAUCAAUUUGACAUCUCAAUUUAUAAAUUUUUAGUUGCAUAGACUACAUUAUUAUUCUAUAAUUAAAGAAAAAACAUGAUUAUGAGAGAGAAAUAUCUCUUUGUUGAUUACUGCACAAACUUAAAUGCGUACAAAUUCUAUAAUAUAAAAACUAAAAGUAUAAUUAUUAGGUAUUGAAAUGUGACGUUUGAUGAACAUAAUCUAGGGAAGAAAAACCGAAAAUAAAUGAGUGUGAUGAUCCCAAAUAGCUAUACUAACUAUAAAAAAAUAUAAACUUGAAAUUUAAUGAGAAAAACAUCAUAGUAGGUCACGAAAGCAACAACAUUUUAAGAACCUAAAAAACAAUUUUAGAAUAAAAAGAUAAUAAAUAUUUUAUUAUUAAAAUACAAAAAAUUAUAUAAAUAAAAAAAAAUAAUUAUUCAAGUUUUAUUUUGAUAUAAUUAUAAUUUUUUAGAAAAAUGUUUUCUUUUUUCUUUACAUUUUUUUAGAUUUUUAUUUUAUCCAUAAUUAGAUUAUAUUGUCAAUUAGAUUUCUUCUUUGAAAUCUUAAUAAUGAAUAGAACAAAUUUCAUAUCUUUUUAUUAAAAUAAAUUCAUUUUUUCUCUUCGAAUCUUUUUGUAUAUUAGAUCAUCUAUAUUCACGUGAUUUGACUAAUUUUAAAAUUAGUUAUGCUAGUUCAGUAUCUGAUUGUUAAUGAAGAUUUUGUGGUGUAGGUUGUGUUAUUUUUGUGUAUUUUGGAGUUGGAGCUUCUUUGGAGUACCCAACCAUCUAAUUAGGUUGAGAAACUAGUUUUAUCUUUCAACAAUAUUGCAAUAAGUGACAUAUUUCAGUAAUUUCAUAUUAAAAAAAGAUAUUUAUGAAUAUUAAUUGAUAAAAUAAUUAUAAUAUAAUCUUUAAUUUAUGGAUUUAAAUUUUUUACAUAUUUUGUGAUUAUAAUAUGAAAAAGAAUAAUUUAUUUUCAAAUUUGUGUUAAUUUCAAGAUUUUUGGGAAGAAUGAAGAUGAAAGGGCAAAAGGAGAAUAAACAAAGAUAAAAAGGGAAAGUUGAACGUUUCAACACUCGUCAAAGCCAGAAGCUCCCAGAGGAUCUCACCCAAGUGAGCUCAAUCUUGCCCAGGAGAUCACUCCAAAGAUGUUGGACUUUUCUUCGUCCAACUCGUCCAAGUGAACUCAAUUACGCCCAAGCGAGCCCAAUCAUGUUCAGGCGAGAAGUCACUUAGCUCAAGCCCAACUAGGUUAUGAGGCGCGAGACACAAUCUUAGAUAUCAAUUGGGAGAAUAAAAGGUGUUAAAAAACCUUUGAGUAAGCAACCGUCAAGGAAAAACAUCCUGAAUCUUCUUUUCUUACUUUCCAUGCUUGUAAUGGCCAACAUGAGUGGGUAAUUCUAUCCUUUGGGAUUGUGAGUAAUUUGUUCAAACUCGUAUGUAUUGAUGUAUAUUUAAAUAUAAUAUUCUGUUUUUGAUUGAUGAUUGGUAUUGUCAUUUUAUUUGUAAUGCUUGUUUACCAAGAUCAAGAUCCUUAAAUUUGACUAGAAAUGAUGAUUGGUAUUGCCAUUUUAUUUGUAAUGCUUGUUUACCAGGAUCAAGAUCCUUAAAUUUGACUAGAAAGUAUCUAUAAGUUUCUGACCCAAAUGACAAUGCUUAACAUAUUUGAAUGUUAGGAAUAGAUUUGUGUUAAUUGCUAUGAACAUCUAAUCGUAAUUCUAAGAAGUUUUUAUAAAUAUGCGAGGAAUCAAUAUUUAGGAGACUUUCUUAAUAAUUUUAUAUGCGAGAAAUUGAUAUUUAAGAGACUUUCUAAAUAAUUGUAUAUGUGAAGAAUCAAUAUAAAUAAUUUUUAAUAUGGGCAUCAACAUCAAUCAAAGGAUAGAACAUUACUAUGCUUUUCAAAAUACAGGGUAAGAAAGAUGAACCACAAUUCAAAUUUUUCCAAUUGAUCCAACAAAUUCUUUGACUUACUUUCUUUAUAAUUCUUGCAAUCAUUAUAACAAACUCCCAACAAAUUUUAUUAUUAUUAUUUUCCUAUUUAGUGAAUCUUAUACUUGAUAAUUCAACGGUUCAUUGUCAGUUCGAUAUUCGUCCUUAGAGACAAAUUGUUACUUCUAACACAAUACACUUACCAUAAAAUAUACAUCACACCCUAGGUUAGAUAAUCUGGAUGUGAAGGUGACAUGUUCACAUGCACCAUUUUCUCUUGCAAGGUUGUUUUGUUGUGAAAAAAAUUAUUAUUUGAAUUAGUACGUACUAAAAAAUUAUUAUGUGUUUAGAAUUGAUUGAUGAUGUUUUGGUAGUUGGUUGUGAAUGUUAAAGUAUAAUUUGACUGAUUGAUGAAGUGUUAAUUGUUCCUAAACAAUGUAUAUGUUUAUAACUAAUUUAAGAAAAUGAUGGUUGUUUAAUUAUAGAUGUAUGUUUAUUUGAGUAAGAUAGUAAAUCUAUGAAUGCGGACUAAGUGAUUCAAAUUAAAGUAAUACGUUUUCAAAGACAAGUAGAUAAUGCUUUAAAAACUCAGUUUUAGUCACUUGGACCAAAUUAAGAAUUCUAUAGAUUUGUGUAGACUUGUUGAGCGAGACCCAUUCUUUCUAGUGAAAUUCAUAUUUUUAAAAACUUGAGAGCAUUGGUCACUAGGCAUGGGUAAACUUAGUCCCAGGAGUUUGGUUGUUGGGCAAACAAUGUUCUCAUUGGGUGAAACUAAGAGAAUUAAAAAUACUUCUUGUUGGGCGAGCCAAACUUUCAUUGGACGUAGUUGUUUUAUUUAAAAAUCUAAGAGCUUUGGUAGAUGGGUGAGCUAAGUUUGUUAGGCAAGCCUUUUAAAUGAAAUCUCCUAGUGAGUUAGUUGUUGGGCAAGUCAUUUCUUGCCAAGUGAAGUGUUUUUAUGAAAAAUUUCCAGUGGAGUAGUCGCUGGACAAACAUUUUGUUCGUUGCACGACUAAAAGUAGUUGGUUGUGUUGAUAUCUUUGGCUGUGUGAGUAGAAUGUUAGUUGGGUAAAUUACAAUAUGUGCUCAACUCGCUGAACGAGCCAAUUGUUUUCUGGGCGAGAGUGUGUUUUUUGAACUUUAAUAAAAAUAAUUUUUAAACAUCUCUUAAUGUUGAAAUGUGUUUAUUUUUUAUUUUAUUAUUAUCUUGGACUAAUAUAUUGUAUUUGAACAUUUAUACGAUGUUAUGAUUGAUAAAUUUCAAUUUGUCAGUAUUUAAAUUGAGUUCGAUGUAUAUGUCUGAAUGAAAAUCAUUGAUAAUUUGAUUAUGAUAUAACAUAUGUUGUUAUGUAGUGUUCUGACCUCAAGUUUGUUGAGAUAAAAUCGCUAGGAUCAAUCAUCGCAUCCGAGGUAUUGUCCGCUUUGGAGAUUUUGAGCCCUGUCACAGUUUUGUCCUUAAAAGGUGUCUCAGUGGGUUAAGGGAGGAAGGUGUAUUUAAAUUGCCAUUGACCUCAACUGUUAAGCGAUGUAGGACUAUAUAUUGGUCGUACCGAAACAUAUAGGCAUAAUUAUUUCCAGGGAGGGAGUAUUGUGUUGAGAUGUUAUGAAUAUGUAUUAAUUUUUGGACUCUGAAUUAGAUGAUCAUGACUCUUUUGAUACACUAACAUAAUAUAGAUUAAGGUGUUUAAGUGUUGAAAAUCGAAGGACAUUUCUAUUUCCUAUCCUGUGGUAUGAAAAAGAAUUAUAUUACGAUGAAAAAUUUACUUUGUCAUAUGAAAAUGAGUUUUCCUAAUGAUGAGACUUUGUUGUGGGGUCAACUUAGUGGUAAGACAUGUGCACAUCUCUGAAUUUAGUUUCGAUGCACGAAUCUUCUAAAAAUAUAGUCAAGAGUCUAUUAUUGUAUGUUAGUAGAUUUUUGACACAAGUAAUGAAUGUUAUGUGAGAAUUAAGAAUAUAUAUUUGGUAGUUGAUUAAUAUGUUGUAUUGUCAAUUAUGAGACAUCAGAUGAUUAUUGAACAUUUACCUCCUAUAGAAUUAUAUUGAAAAUUUUAAAAAUACUAUCUUAUCCUACUUUUUUGUUCAUGUUUAUUUUUCAUAACAUGUGAUGAUCGUGUAUUACACGAGAGCAGAGACUACAUGAAAUAGUAAGAAACUGAGGAGUUUUGUAUAUAAAUUUGGAAUUUUUUUUUUACCUUAUGAUGUAUAUAUUUAAAACUUCUAUAAAAAGAAAAUUAUUUUGUAAUACUAUUGUUCCGGUUCCGCAAAUAUAGUCUCACAUCGCUCAGGGGUCGAGGCCAAUGACAGUUUAUAUACUCCCUCCUCCCUCAACCCACCGAGGCGCCUUUUAAGGACAAAACUGUGAUGGAACACCGACCUCCAAAGCAGACAAUACCUCGAAUGCGAUGAUUGACCCUAGCGAUGCUAUCUCUUGGACUUGAGGUUGGAACAUUGGUGCCGUCUGUGGGAACGAAAAUGGGUCCCAAGCCCUUCAACCAGGGGGAAACCACUCCCUUUAGAACUCGACUGGGGGGCUACACAGUCCUCAUCGAGUUGCAUUUCCUAAGUUCAUUUUUGGUAGGAACAAUUGGAGCUUACUGUGGGACCCUGAUAAAACUUUUCCCAUAACCACUACAAAAAUCCGGACAUACACUCUCAAUAUGAAUAUCCAAUAGCUAUUUAGAACUGUGAGACGCCCUGGGCCAAAUGCGGGAAAAAAAGGAAAUGAGAUUUGGAUCCCUAAGAGAGCAACACAUGGCAUAAUUACGGGUACUGCAUGAUCAGAUAACUCGUAGGGACAAUAAUUACACCACUCAGGGUGACCAACAACACUCGGAGCAUAUCGCCGAAUCUCAGAGGGUCCCCCGAGAAAACUCGAAUCAGUAGGAGAGGUUGAUAUCUUGUACUCCCACUAGAAAAUUAUCUUGGAGGGGAAACCCAUCGAGAUCCACACAAUGAAAGACAGGGAAAAAUAGUCGUGGCCAUGAGCAUAAAUCAUACAAGGCCCUUCCUGACCCGUUGAUCAACCGUACAAUGAGGAUUAAUCUAAAGGGUUUUUAUCCCUUCACGGAUGAGGUUAUGAGGGCCCAACUUCCUUGGAGAUGAAGUUGGUCCAAUCUUGAGAAAUACUCGAGGACCUAGACCCCGAGGCACAUGUUAAGGCCUAUUUGACCCAAGCUCAACUAUUCUUGAAGGACAUGGACGUGCAUUGCAGGCUGUUUCUCACCACUUUGAUCGGGGUGGCCUUGGAAUGGUACUACUCCCUGCCUAGAAACUCGGUAGACUCGUUUGACACGUUCUGUGGUAGGUUCCUCACCAGGUUCGUAGAUUGCAAGCCCGUUGUUGAACAUAGGUUUUCAUGUCUCCAAAUCCAAGAAGAUUGCUUGAAGAUUUUGUUGAUGCUUAUGUGUGUGGGUUUUGUGUAGUUUGAAUUUGUAAAUUCUACUCAUAGAUUUGAUCCAAGGUUGCUUGAUUCAAGUUCUUUUGAAAAAAGGUGUUUUCUAAAGAAAGUGAAAAAUCAACCUAUUGAGUUGUCGUUUCAACCGGUUGUUUUACACUUAGUGUUUUUGAAAAGAAUUUGAAAAAGCUUGACAUUGGUUGACUUUGUUGUCAAGCCAAUUCAACUGAUUGUUUCGUGUUUUCAAUCGGUUGAUUUUUGAAAAUUCUUAGUGUAGAAAGGAAGAACAGGUCUAUGGAGGAACUUGCUAGAGCCAUGUUAAGUGAGUCCUCUUUACCAAAAUAUUUUAGGGCUGAUGUUGUGAGCGCAACUUGCUAUGUGAUGAAUCGGGUUCUCAUUAGACCAAUCUUGAAGAAAACUCCUUAUGAACUGUUUAAUGAGAGAAAACCCAACAUUGGUCAUCUAAAAGUGUUUGGUUGCAAUUGUUACAUCUUAAAUAAUGGUAAGGAGAACCUUGACAAGUUUGAUGAAAAAGCGGAUAAUGGUAUCUUUCUUGGUUAUUCAUUAACUAGUCAUGCAUAUAGAGUGUAUAACAAGAGGCUGAUGACUGUAGAAAAGUCUGUUUACAUUGUUUUGAUGAGUCUAAUCACGUAGAAUAGGAAUCCAGGAAGAAUUUUGUAGAAGAGGAUGAGCAGAAUAUCAUUCUAGAGAAGCUGGAAAUCUGUCUAGAAAAACAACCGAUUGAAUCUGUGAAACAACCGGUUGAAACUCUAUAAUAGAAUGGUCUUCCCAAAGAAUGGAGGAUUCUUAGAGAUCUUUUUAUGUAAAAUAUCAUUAGGAAGAUUGAUAAGGGAGUUUAUACUAGAACAUCUGUCUCUAAUUACUGCAAACAUAUGGCAUUUGUGUCUCACAUUGAACCCAAAUCUGUAGGUGAAACACUUAAGGAUGAGAGCUAGAUUGCUACUAUGCAAAAGGAGUUGAAUUAAUUCACCAAAAAUGAAGUGUGGACUCUGGUUCCUCAAUUUGACAUCAUGAAUGUAAUUGGAACCAGGUGGGUAUUUAGAAACAAACUAGAUGAAGCUGGAGUGAUUACAAGAAACAAAGCUAGGUUGGUUGCCAAAGCUUACAAUUAAGAGGAAGUCAUAGACUAUGAUGAAACCUUUGCACUUCUGGCCAGAUUGAAAGUUGGGAGACUGCUGCUUGCCUUUGCCUGCAUGAGUGGUUUCAAACUGUUCCAAAUCAAUGUGAAGAUUGCCUUUUUAAACGGGUUCAUCAAUGAUGAGGUUUAUGUCUCACAACCACCCAAUUUUGAGGAUCAUCAACAUCUCAAUCAUGUUUACAAGUUGAAGAAGGCUUUGUAUGGGCUCAAACAAGCUCCAAGACAAUGGUGUGAGAGACAUAGCAAUUUCCUCUUGUCUCAUAGCUAUGAGAGAGGCAAAAUUGAUAAGACUCUUUUCAUUAAAAAGUCAAAAUCUGCUAUCAUUUUGGUUCAAAUUUAUGUUGAUGAUAUCAUAUCUGGUGCUACUAAUGAUAGUUUAUGUGAAGAAUUUGUGGCAGCAAUGCAGGGGGAGUUUGAAAUGUCUAUGAUGGGAGAGUUAUCAUUCUUCUUAGAGCUUCAGGUCAAGCAAUCAAAGGAUGGAAUCUUCCUUAGCCAAACCAAGUAUUGCAAGGAGAUUCUCAAGAAGUUUGAGACGGAAAACUGCAAAGAGCCAUCCACACCAAUGUCUACAAGCUGUUAUAUGGAUGCUGACUUUGCUGGAACAACAGUAAAUCAAACAAAAUUCAGAGGAUUGAUUGGUUCUUUGAUUUAUCUCACUGCUAGCAAGCCAUCAUGUUUGCAGUUUGUCUCUAUGCUAGAUUUCAAUCCAAUCCAAAUCUCACUUCAAAGCUACAAAAUGAAUUCUAAAAUAUCUCAAGGGCACAACCACUAUUGGUAUAUGCUAUCCCUCUCACUCUCCUAUUCAUUUGGUUGGUUAUUCUGAUUCUGAUUUUGCAGGGUGUAAGCUAGAUAGAAAAAUUACAAGUGGGACUUGUUAUCUUCUUGGUUCAAGUCCCAUAUCUUGGCAUAACAAAAAGCAAGCUUGUGUGGCCCUUUCCAUUGCAGAAGCUGAAUAUAUAAUUGUUGGUAGCUACUGCGCUCAAAUUCUCUGAAUCAAUCAAUAGCUAAAGGACUCUGGAUUAAAAGUCAACAAGGUGCCUUUUCUUUGUGAUAACACAAGUGCUAUUAAUCUCACCAAAAAUCAAAUUCAACAUUCAAGGACAAAACACAUUGAGAUUCGGUACCAUUUUAUAAGAGAUCAUGUGAGCAAUGGGGAUUGUGAAGUUUAGUUUAUUGAAACUAGAAGAUAACUUGCAGAUAUAUUCAUCAAGCCACUACCUAAGGACCAAAGAAUUUUCUCCAUAAGAAAUGAGUUGGGUAUUCUUGAUUCUCAAAUUCUGUCUUAAUUUUGUUUUUCUCCCUUGUCUUACUCUAUUUGUGAAGACAAAAAUAGGGGGAGAAUUAUAUGGUUUUCGGUGUUGAACUGCUGCUACUCUUAUCUGGUUUAUAUCUAGUUUAUAGCUGAUGCUGUUUUGCUCUGAUUCUGCACAUCUUUCACUAGUUUUCACACUGAUUUUUAUGGUUUUCUUGUUGGAAAUCAUAUGAUGAAAACUGGUUCAAUGGUGGUGUUUAAACCUGGGUACUCUUAUAUGCUAUUUUCGGUGUUCAAUGGUGCUGGAUUAUCAAGCUUUUUCAAGAUUGCUUCAAGCUUUGGAUUCUUUCUAAGAGUGGAAUAUGAUUGCUUUGUAUUUCUUCUAUUCAAUUUGUGAUUGUAUCAGGUGUUAUCAUUCAUUUUCUCUCUUGACUAUUGUAUUGUUGUAAGAAAUAUUGGUGUGCAGAUUCAGAGGGUGUUCUGAAUUCUGUGGUGUGACAACCAAAGGUGGUGUGUGUUCUUGAAGAGUUCAAGAUCACCACUUUGGUGUGUGUUGUAAUCGAGGUGUUUGACUGUUUAGUGGAAUACUCAAAGGUUUUCUAGGAAUUGGAUGUAGCUCUUGAGUAAGAGUGAACCGGUAUAAAUUUCCUGUGUGAAUCUUUCUAUCCCUUAUCUCUUUAAAUCAAGGUGCUUGAAGUUUAUAAUUGCUGCUAUAAACAAUUGAUUGUUUCGCAAAAACAACCGAUUGAUUUUUUGCUGUUAAGUGAAAAAUAGUUUUUAAAUUAGGUGAACAAAUUUCUAAUUGAUUAAUUUUCAUUGGCUUUUAUACCUUCAAAACUUGUGUACCGCCCUGGUAGUCGGGAGUGAUGACGUGGCAACAAGCUACAGUAUAGGCGUGUUGACAAGGCGCCAGGUUGGCAGAAGGGAAGGAAGUCGGGGGGCUCGUGAAGUCGCCAGUUGUUAAGUUGGCGUGUUCCGAUCACCGGGUUAAAGAUGAAGUCGCCAGACGUAGACUCAGGCGACCUAGUGAUUGGAGAUCGCUAGAGCAAGCACAUCGCCAGAGAUGAAGGUGGUGCAGAUUAUGAAGGCGGCCGGCGAGACCACAGGGAAGGUGUAUGAAGGCACCCUAACUCGCCAGUUCCAGUAGAGAUCGCACUCCCAAGUUAGCUAUGUACUGGGCAGCACCAUGCAUAAAUAACUUAGCCAAAAGGAGAGUCAGAAGCAGCGCCCAAGUCAAGAAGGCUCCAGAUGAUGGCACGUGUACAGUUGGAUGCGAGCCACGUGUCCAAGUCUGUAACUUCCAGGAGAGAGAAAGUAACCAGGUAUAUAAGAGUUCUCAACGAACUUUCUGAGGUACGCACGUUCAGAAUACAUUCUUUACGCUUGCGAGUUAUAGAGCUUACUGUGAGAGAGGAUUUGCACGGUUCUUGUUCUCUUAGUAUUUGGUGAUUCGGUUACUGACUUGGGCGUUGGAGUGCGAUCGGCCGCAGCGGCGCCGCUCUGUUUCUUUGCAGGUUCUUGAGGUGGAUCUCGAAGAGGAACGGAGGUGUGAAGCGGUGCACACGUCGAUCCUUUGACGAGGCAGUUUCCAGCGUUCCGGUCAACAGGCAGGAUCAACUUGCAAAAAUCUUUCAUAAACAAUUCACCCGCCUUCUUGUUUAAGGCCUACAAUUCUAACACCCGUGGUCGCCACCUCAACAUCCUUGCACAAUGUCAUGCAAGGGGAGACAAAAGGCUUGAGACAAUUCAUGGCUCGGUUUGCCCGAGUUACUCUGAACAUACCCGACUUGCACCGGACGAUCUCCAUGCACGCCCUACUGGUGAGGCUAUGUUCAAGGAUAUUCUUGGACGCCCUAUAUGCGAAAACCCUAAGGACCUGAAUCAACUACGGGCCAAGGUAAGAUACAUGAGCAUCAAAGAAAAUGUCGAUGCACGGAAGAAGGCAAUGAAGACGCCAAUCACAACGACUUUCUGAGACGACACAAAAACGAAGCAGGGGAGAUUUUAAAGUUACACCCCUUUGAAGGCUUCUAGGGAGAUUGUGCUACGAGAGGCCUGCAACUUAAAACCCGUAUGCUUGCCAACACCAAGCCCCAACAAUCCUUCAAGGACCCGACUAAGCACUACAAUUAUCACCAACAUCAAAGUCAUAGCACGGAGGAGUGCUUUAAGGUAAGGGAUCUUCUAGAGAAGUUGGUUCAAUCAGGGGCCUUAAACCGCUUCAUACAUUAGUCUAGGUCAUAGUUGAAAAUCAAGAACUUGUACUCUUUUUCCUUUGCUCGAGUUUUUUUCCCUAAGAAGGGUUUUACCAAGCAAGGUAGGUAAGAUCGGCAAAAUAAAAUCAUUUUUUUUUCUCGGUACAAUCUCGCCAAGUUCAAUCAAGAACUAGAAAUGCUCAACCAAAAGCACAACAACUCGCUCAACUAAGAGUGUUAAAGCAAAAAUAAUACAAGUUAAAUCAAGAACUAGAAACGCUCAACCAAGAGCACGACAACACGCUCAACCAAGAGAAAAGCAAAAUGAUGCAAGUUUUGUCAAGACCUAAAACGAUCAACCAAGAACACAACAACACGUUCAACCAAGAGCGAAGCAAAAUAAUGCAAGUUUAAUCAAAAACUAAAAACGCUCAACCAAGAGCACAACAACUCAUUGAACUAAGAGCAAAGCAAAAAUAAUACAAGUUCAGUUAAGAACUAUAAAUGCUUAACCAAGAGCAUGAAAACACACUCAACCAAGAGCAAAGCAAAAUAAUACGAAGCAUGUUCUACCACGAGCAUAGCUAAAAACCAAAUCCAAACGGGUCCAAAUCGAACUCGUUCACCCUUUGGUUGCUCAUCACCAUAUUAUCACUUCGGCUUCCGAGCUAGGGGGCUUGUGUACGUACCGACCAUAAGAUCGGAAAUGCCAAAGAGCUCGGAUGAUUGUAUGCAUCCCUUAACCGAGCCUUUAUUGCCAUCAUGACCAUCAUAAGUAAAACGGCCUAAUCAAUGAGCCUUAAAUGAUAAACGACUAUUUAUAGAAUAAUGAAUAACAACUAUAUGGCUAAUCCAAAAGACUCAUAACAGUCCACUCAGAUGAUACCACCUGAUUAAUCUAUAAAUAUUUACUCUCCAAAAAGUACACUAUAUAUUAUCCCAUACUCUUAACUCUUAUAUAAUUAAAAACUUACCAUCUUUGUGUUCCUACUGACUUAAGCAUUAGAGAGUCUUUGCAGGUGAACCUCCCCCUCUCAUUGGAGACCAACUGAAAGCUCAAUCCAUGAGAAACACCCAGCCCUUAUCGAGUUACACUCUUCGAACUCAUUUCAAAGAAUGUCGGAGACGAAUAUAAGUGAAAUUAGAGAAUUGUUAUGAGUAAUGAUAAUAACACAUUUUAUGAAAAUAUUAUCAAAAUAAAACCUUUCUAGAAAUUCCAUGUGAUGAAAAAUAGAGAAAAUCCUUCGUAAUAAAAUAUUUGUAAUAUAAAAAAAUGAAAUAUGGUUGUUAAAAUAGUUGACAACAAUAAAAAAACAUAUUUAUGUAAAAUGAGUCUCAAGACCAAAUACAAGUUUAAUGAAUAGAUUAAUUACUUUAAAGUACAACUAGUCACAAAAAGGUUAAAAAAAAUAUACAUGUAUAGAUUAUUUUGAGAUAUUUGUUCUUUUUUCAAGGUUAGACACAAUUCACACGAUUAUUUCUCUUAUUGAACAACCUUUGGUAUAUGUAAUUUUAAAGAAAAAAAUUAAGUUUAUAGAUUUAACAAAAUUAUAUGAAUCGAAAGAAAUACUAAGAGCAUGAUAUAAGUGUUGAAGCUGGAGGAAGCUUCUUCCUUACCAAGGCUUGAUGUGUGUUUGAUGAAGAAAAUGGCUUAUGUGCUUUGAAGAUUGUAAUAGGUUUUUAGAUCCAUUUGUAAUUAGGCUUGUAAGUGUGUAUGAUUGCCUUUUGCUGUAUAACCUAUCCUAGAUGCCUAACCAAGUCUAGAUCAAGCACAUGAUGUGGUUAAAUGGUUUUUAAAAAGCGUUUUAAAGUAUUUUUAACAGUUUUAAAACAGUACACAAAUAAAUAUGUUUUAUGGAGAAAGAAUCUGUUUAUUUCUUCUCUGUUAAAAGGCUUUUCUAAAUUUCUGUUAGGGCACCAAGGGAAAGCUCAGUUCGUUAUUUCAGUUAAGCUGAGCUGGCCUGUUUGUUACACUUUAAUCUGUUUUACUGUGAAAGAACAGGUUUUUCUUUGGUCUGCUGAAAGGUUUUUCACAAGUUAGUUAGGGCACCAAAGGUACAACUCAGACAGUUAUUUCUGUUAGCUGAGUUGGCAGUUUUCACAAAAUAAAUCUGUUAAGUUCAAAAAUGAAUCUGUUGUUUUCUUAACUGCUUUUCAACUGUUUUUUGAAAAGAAGUUAGAAACUGUUUUCUAUAUAAAGAAAAGUAUCUCUCACAUGAAUAAGUGCUGAGGAAUUACGCUUUUGACAGAGAUCAAACAAUUUCNNNNNNNNNNNNNNNNNNNNNNNNNNNNNNNNNNNNNNNNNNNNNNNNNNNNNNNNNNNNNNNNNNNNNNNNNNNNNNNNNNNNNNNNNNNNNNNNNNNNNNNNNNNNNNNNNNNNNNNNNNNNNNNNNNNNNNNNNNNNNNNAUCUUCUUUUCAGGUGUAAUCUUUCCUUUAUUCUGUUGUGUAAAGGUGUAAGUGUUAGUCACUCCUUGAUAGGGUUUCUUGGAGUGCAAGGUUUGCUGAAAUAGGGGUUUUCAACAUUGUGUGUGUUGUUCUUGUAGUGUUCAAGAACUGCUGGUUUUGUAAGUGAUUGGGACUGGUUUUUAGUGAAUUCCACCUUGAGGUAAGGUGAGACUGGAUGUAGCUCUGUAUGAGUGAACUAGUAUAAAAACGUGUGUAUCUUGUAUUCUCAUCCCUGCACUCUUUUCUGGUUUUUUGAUUAAUUCUGUCAAGAACUAAAUCUGUUCUUUUUAAAUUGAAUCUGUUAAUUCUGGGUUAAGUGAAAACUGUUCUUCCUGAUUUGUUAAAGUUUUCUGAUCACAAACAAGGUUGCUGCAUAUAAUGGUUUAAGUGAAUUGUGAACAAACUGAUCAUUCAUUAAAACCUGAGAAAGGAUCAUACUUCUUGAAAUCUUGUGUUGUGUAAUUUUUGGUUGAUUUCUAAGCAUAGCUGUAUCCUUCAUCCUCACAACAUUAAGCUGAUUUGGUUCUGUAAUAAUUCUCUGUUGAUCACAAUUCUACAUUGAACAAAAUUCAAAUUGUGCCAAGACUGAUCUGAAGAAUCAAUCUGUUUCAUGUAAAAACAAUCUGUUCUUUUUGCCUCUGGAAUACUGAAAAAUUGUGUGUUCUUGCAAAAAUUUUAUAAGCUCAAUUCAUCCCUCCCCUCCUGAACUUAGACACUAAUAGACCCAACAAUAAGAAAAUUAAUUCCUAUGAUUUUGAAGAGAUAUCCUUAAGACAUAUUGUAAAUACGUAUUUAUGUUGAUAAUUUAAUCCUCAUCCAAAAUAAUUCAAGAUAAUUGUCAUUUAGGGAGAUAAUGAUAAGCUACUUUGAGAUGUUAAAUUUAGACCGAAUUGAAUGUUAAUUUUCAUAUUAGUUGAAAAACAACUAGAGCUCGUAAGAGAAAGUGGAGAGAAAAAAAGUGAAUGAAACUCAACAUAAAUAAAAACAUUGGAUAAUUGUAACUAAACCACAUAUACUUUAUGAAAUUGGUUUGUUUAAAAUUUUUAUAAACGAGUCACUCUUUGUGAUCUAAUGAGUAAAGAAAAUUUUAGGACGAGUUACUUUGACUUAACUUUCCUUAUAAAACUGAUAAGAUGCUCAUUAGAUAUACAAAUAAUAAUUGAGCCAAAUAUUUUUAAAAAAAGCACGUAAAGAUAUAUAGGAUAUUAUUGUAGUAUUGUGUUCAUAAAAAAAAAACUAACUAGUACACUUUCAAUGGUAUAAAUAGAGUAUAUUGCAUGAAUGGUAUCAAGAGACUUAUAGUUAAAAAAAUCAUCAGUAUAAAAAAAUCAGUAUUAUCUACGGAUUUUUAUUUAUACAUUUGAAUUCGUAAGUAAAUUUAGCAUUAUUUACGAAUAUUACCCACAUACAACAUUACCUACAAAUUCUGAAUCCGUAGGUAAAUUCAGCAUUACCUACAAACUAUUACCUUUAGAAUUCAGUGCCGAGCAAAUUCAGCAAUUGACAAAUGCUAUUUACUCGCUCAACAAUAACGAUAAAAGUGACACGUUUGUUAGCUCUGCAGGUCUGCUUGCCCAUAACUCCUCUUCUAAUUCUGCUUUUACGAAACCAUGGAUUUUGGAUAGCGGAGCAACCAAUUACAUUGCAUCUUAUUCACAAUUUUUCACACACACUUCAUCAUCAUUUAUUCCAAAUGUUAAUCUGCCCAUAAGCUCAAUCGUGCCCAUCUCAUCUACGGGCACAAUUAAAUUCAAUGACAAAAUCACUCUCAAAGAUGUUCUUUGUGUUCUUUCUUUUAAUUUAAAUCUCAUGUCCGUUAGUAAGAUAACCAGUUUACUAAAUUGUUGUGUCGUUUUUACUCCACAUGGUUGCGUUUUGCAGGACUUGGAUACGGGGAGGAUGAUUGGCUCGGGUAAACAACAUGCAGGCUUAUACUACAUAUCCCCUCUUCCAAACCAAGCCCAUGUAUCUCAAAUAUUGACCAACCCUGAAUUAUGACACAAACGCCUCAGACAUCCUUCUCCGGCGUGUCUACAACUUGCAUCUUCCUUACUACCUAUCCCUAUCAGUAAAAAUCUCAUUCCCAUUCAUAAUAAUUGUAGUAUUUGUCCCAAAGCUAAACAGACAAGGCUACCCUUUCCUUUAAGCACAAUAAAAUCUCAUUCUCCAUUUAAUCUAUUGCAUUGUGACAUUUUGGGUCCUCAUAAAACCCAACUCAUUCGGAAAAUGUUUUUUUCUCACUAUAGUUGAUGACUAUACUAGAUGUACUUGGUUAUUUUUUAUGAAUCACAAGUCUGACACCCAACAUAUCUUAGAAUCAUUCGUUACUUUUGCAUAAAAUCAAUUUCAGGCAUAUAUUAAAACCAUCCGCGUUGACAACGAAUUGAAAUUUAUUUCUAUGUGUAAUUUUUUUCUCAAAAAAGGUAUUGAAUGUCAACGCACUUGUGUGUACACUCCUCAACAAAAUGGAGUAGUAUAACGCAAACAUAGACACAUUUUAAACACAACACGAGCUCUCCUAUUUUAGUCCCAUUUACCAUUAGAAUUUUGGGGGAAAUACAUUUUAACCGCCACAUAUAUCAUUAAUCGCUUACCCACACCUUUACUAAAAAAUAAAUCUCCUUUUGAGAUGCUAUAUAAUCUCCCACCUUCACUUUCUUACUUAAAAACUUUUGGUUGCCUAUCUUAUGCAACUGUUGUUUCACCUAAGCAAAAAUUUGAUUUGCGCACUCGACAGUGCAUCUUCAUUUUUUAUCCUCUCAAUAAAAAAACAUACAAAUUAUUUGAUAUAGAUGCAGACACUUUUUUUACAAGUCGGGAUGUCAUCUUCUAUGAAAGUGUUUUUCCAUUCUGCCAACAGUCACAGACAUAAUCCUCACCUCCAUCACAAGGUAUUUUGCCCACUAUUGACAUUGACUUACCCACUCCUGUCCAACAUUCACUCGAUCAACCUUUUUCUCUUACUCAUCACAAUGCACCUGAACCUCCACCAAACUAACCUUCUUCUCCUACUCGUCACAAUACACAUGAACCUCUAUCAAACCAACCCUCUUCUCCUACUCGUCACAAUGCACCUGAACCUCCAUCAAACCAACCUUCUUCUCCUACUCGUCAUAAUACACCUGAACCUCCAGUAGACCAACCUUCUUCUCCCAUGCCAAGAAGUCUAGCACCCAUUACCAACCCUUCUCCAAUCGACCUUCCUGUUCGACGAUCCAGUCGUACAUCAACCCCACCUUCCUGGCUUCAAGACUACAUAACGGGAUCCCAAGCCAAUCAUUCGGCCACUACCCAAGACCGACCGAAUGGAACUAGGUAUCCUAUGCAUCAUUUUCUUUUUAAUUCUUGAUUUUCUCCUACACAUAGUGCAUAUCUUACUAACAUCACAGCCACCAAAGAACCUCACACUUAUGCUCAAGCUAUCCUUUAUCCAAAUUGGCAAAAAGCAAUGGACGAACAGUUUUCUGCCUUGCAGCUAAAUCAAACAUGGACCUUGACACCGUUACCCGCUAGCAGAAACCCAUCAGAUGCAAAUGGGUCUAUAAAAUAAAGUACAACUCAGAUGGUAGCGUCGACAGAUAUAAGGCGCGCCUUGUCACAAAGGGGUACACUCAAAUUGAAGGUGUCGACUAUUCUGAAACUUUUUUACCAACAUCAAAAUUAACAACUUUGAGGUGUCUCCUCACCAUUGCAGCAGCCAGAAAUUGGUUUACUCACCAGAUAGAUGUGCAAAAUGUCUUCUUACAUGGCACAUUGCAUGAAAUUAUUUACAUGGACUUGCCACCCGGGCAUCAUCGACAAGGGGAGAACAUUGUAUGUCGACUAAGCAAAUCUCUAUGGUUUCAAACAAGCAUCUCGGACAUGGUUUUCAACAUUUUCUCAUGUGAUUAAAUCUGUAGGAUUUCAACUGUCCAAGACAGAUCACUCUCUAUUCACUAGACAAAAUAACUCAUAAUUUACUGCCCUUUUGAUUUAUGUGGAUGAUAUUCUUUUAACAGGAAAUGAUUUGACAGAAAUUCAGCGUGUUACAGAUUGUCUAUCACAAAAAUUUCGCAUUAAAGAUCUUGGAGACUUAAAAUAUUUUCUAGGGAUUGAAUUUUCCCAUUCCAUGGUAUUUACAUGUCCCAAAGAAAAUAUGCGCUUGAUAUUUUGCAGGAUACGGGACUACAGGUGCUCGUCCAGACAAAUUUCCAAUGGAAUAAUACCUUAAACUCACACCAGACGAUGGAGAGUUAUUAAAGGAUCCAGUCAAAUACAGGCGACUCGUGGGACGACUGAUAUACCUCACGGUUACUCGGCCUGACAUAACAUUUUCGGUUCGGACCCUAAGUCAAUAUAUACAGGAUCCACGGAAACCUAUUGGGAUGUCGCAAUUCGAGUCCUAAAGUACAUCAAAGGAUCACCAGGACAGGGAUUGCUAUUGUCAUCCAAAAACAAUUUGUCAUUGACAACUUAUUGCGACUCAGACUAUGGAGGUUGUCAGACAACUCGGAUAUCAGUAUCUAGGUAUUGCAUUUUUCUUGGUUCUUCUAUUAUCUCAUGGAAUUCAAGAAAGUAGACAAACGUAUCAAGAUCAUCAGUGGAAGCAGAAUACCGCAUGAUGGCCAAUACUUGUUUGGAGAUAGUUUGGUUGCGAUAUCUGUUGCAUCAUUUAAAGGUGCCAUGUAACUUGCCAACUCAACUUUUCUGUGACAAUCAAACGAUAUUACAUAUAGCAGCAAACCCAGUAUUUGAUGAUCGCACAAAACACAUUGAGAUAGACUGCCACAUUGUGCGAGAAAAAUUACAAGUUGGAUAAUCAGUCCUUCAUAUGUACCAACACAGUAUCAGUUCGCAAAUAUUUUUACGAAGGCACUGGGCAAGGAACGGUUUUUUGAUGCUACUACACAAGUUGGAGGUUCAUGAUGUUCACCUACCAACUUGAGGGGAGUAUUAUGAAAAUAAUAAUUAUCAAAUUAUAUGCAAUUAUUGUAUGCAAUAUUAUACGAUAUUGUACCCAAUUAUAUGCAAUUAAUUUAAUAAUGAUAGAAUCUCAUGAUUAGUAUCCUACCUAAUUAGAUUGUAAUUUGAAGAGAGAAACUCCCUAUAUAUUUCCUAUACAUGAAGUGAUGUAACCAUACACAUAAGAGAAUCUCUUCUUCUUACCAUUCUUUAUCAUUUUCUUAUACUCCUCACAAUCUGAAAGCAUAUAAAAGGGAUUGAUUUGUUAACACUAACAUGUGCAAUGUUUUUUUUUUUAAUAAUAGAAUACAAUAUUUAGCAGCAACAAGAACUAUGUACCGAGAGAUAUUUUUUUUUUAUAUUUAUGAUCUAUUUAUAUUUUUUAUUAUUUAUUAUUACUUAUAAAAUAAUUAAUACAUAAUUUAGUUGUUUACCUCAUUAAUUAAUAUUUAGUUAAAUAUUCUAAUUAAUAUUAAAUUUGUGUUUGUUAUUUUUUAAUAAUUUUCUGUUAUUAAUACUAUGCUUCAUAAAUACUCCUUUUAUCAUUUAAAAUUCAUUUUUCCUAUUUUAUGUAAAUUUAGAGACAAGUGCAAAGUUGACUUCCACUGUUUCCAAAAGUAUCCUAAAACCAAGGAUAGCAGUUCAGUGAAAACAUACUUUGCAUAUUAAUAGGUUACUCUUUUAAAGAUAUUCUGCACACUAUGCAUUUAAUUAUUCCAUUAAUGUUUAACUUUAAUUUAAAAUUUAGAAAUAUGUAUUGUGAAAUUUUAAACUAUAUAUUAAAAGUUACUUUUAUAUAUAUAUAUAUAUAUGUUGAUAGGUGUGUUGAUACAACUUCAUAUAAUUUAGUAGUUCUGAGUUUCGAGUUUCUCUUGGGUGUAUACUAUAGUGUGGUAUUUUUUGUUGUUUCUUUUGUGGUUCACGUAACAAAACAUCAUGUCCAAAUUGCAAGUUCAUAACCAGAUACAUUUUGUUAUCGAUGUUACUCCUGCAAAAGAGAACUGGAACAUUGUUGUUAGAGUGAUGCGUUUGUGGUUUGUUACUUAUCUUGCUAAAUCCAAAAUUCUGUUUUCAAUGGAGUUGAUUUUGCGAGACAAAGAUGUUAUACUACAUUGACUUAUAGUACUUUUGUUUAGACCAGUAAACCUUACAUCUUUGUUUUUUGUUAUAAUGAUUUAUGUUGUAUUCUAUUUCAGGGUGUUAGAAUACAUGGAUCGAUUAGAAGAACACUAAUCUAUAAAUUUCAAAGUCAGAUUUUUUAUGGCAGUGUGUAUUUUGUUCAAUCGUUCAGUGUUGCAGCCAACAGUGGUUCCUACAAAACCACACACCAUCCAUAAAAAAUAAAUUUUCAGUUUGGAACAAAGAUAACUUUAGUUCCUGCACAACUGGUACUAGAAUCUCCUCCUAAAUACAUCCCUCUUUCUUCUAUAUCUGCUCCUGGAUUUGACACUGACUACUUAGUGGGUAUGUUGAAAUUUAACUUAACAUUCUUGAAGUAAUUGAACUCGCUACAUUCUUAUAAGGAUUUAUUCUAUUAUUAAAUUUUUUUCUGCCAUGUAGAUAUUAUAGGAGUGCUAACAAGAGUUGGAACUGAAAGAGAGUUGAAAAAAGAUGGGCGGAAGACAAAACUAAAUGUCAUCUCCUUAGAGUGUGAUGGGUAAUUAUUUUUUUAAGUUUAUUUAAUAUUUUAAUACUAAGAAAUGUUUGUAAGUAGUUUGUAAUUGAUGUUUUUUGUAAAUAGUUUCCGUAUUGAAUGCACGCUUUUUGGAAACUAUGUGGAUGAGUUGAAUGCAUUUCUGUCAUAUGCUGAAGUACAAAAUGUUGUUGUAAGUAUUGAGUUCGGCAAAGUCAAGCUUUUUCAAGGUAUAUAAAGUAAGUUAUUGAUAUUUGAUAUGGAUUUCUUAACAUAAAGAAUGUAUUAUAUAUCAUAACAUUAUAUUUUAUGUUUUCUUUGUUUUAUGUUUAGAUAUGGUUUAUAUCCAGAACUGCAUUGAUUGUACCAAGGUAGAAUUUAAUUUGAACACUGAAGCAGCACUUGCUUUGAAAAAAAGGUUGUCUCUUAACUAACGUGAUAUUAACAAAUGCAAAACAUGACUGAUGUGUUAUUUAAGAUUAUAGAUAUAGUUGAUACCUAAAUUGUGUAUGGUGCAAGAUGUCUUCAAGUAGUGAAUCACCUUCUCAAGGACUCAGUCAACUUUCUGAAGCUUUUAAACACAGUUUAAAAGAUGAAUUCCUUCAGCUCACUCCUAGAAACACGAUAGGAUGGCUCAAGGACUGCAAAGAUGUAAUACUGUGAACAAAUCUUUUACAUAGGCAAAUGCUUACAAAGUUCUAGGGAUAUGUUUGUUAACAUAUAACAAUUGUUACACGUUGUCGACAAUGAUGACUGGUGGUACACUACCUGUGUUUUUAAUAAGGCAGUGUACCCAGAUUCAAAGAUGUUCUUUUGUGAGAAAUGUAACAAGCAUGUGAUGAAGGUUUCUCUCAAGUAGUACUUUUUUUCAUAAAUUUUUUUGUUAGGGUUGCAAAAUUGUUAUUAUAAGAGAUGAAGUUCUAACCUAAAAAUCAAAAUUAUAUUUAUAGGAAUUUUAGGUAUAAGAUUAAACUGCGUGUUGUUGAUGAAACAGAUUCAACCACGUUUAUUCUUUUCGACAGGGAAGCAAACUUGCUCUUAAACAAGUCAUGUGCUGGAAUUUUUGAAAGUCAUGAUAAGGUCUUAACUUUGAUAUCAUAAUUUUAUUUAAUUAUUUAUUUUUAUAUUUAUACCUAUAUUUAUUUUAUUUAUAAUAUAUAUUUUAAUUAUAUUAUACAUUAAAUUUUUAUUUAUUUAUUCAGAAUUUCAAUCUUCCAAAAGAGUUUUCAGAUCUGUUGGAUAAAUAAUUUCUAUUCAAGGUUGACUCAAGAAAUGAUCAAAGCAUUCAAUUUGAGCAAUCUUUUAGAGUUAAAAAGGUUUGUUUUGAAGAUCAAAUUAUUCAAACUUUCAUAGAAAGAGGCAGUAGGUCAAUUGUAAGUAUUUUAUUAUUCAUAUUUACAUUUGUGUCAAUUUGCUUAUAUGUACACUUAGUUUUAACCACAUUUUCUGUUUUUGAAGAACUUAUAUGAACAAAAUGGAAAACAUUCAAAAGGAAAAACUCCUGCCAGUGAUGGUACAUGUGUGAAAAUUACAGAGGUAAAUCAAUUUAGAUGCCAAAGUAUUUUGUUCCAACUUAUUUACCAUGUAAUAUUUUUAUAAUUUAUUUUAUUUGUGUAACAGGAUUUGUUGACCAAAUUUUCUACUGAAUGUAUCGAUUCUGGAUCUCAAACCAUUGACCUUGGAAAUGAUAACGUAACAGUGACACUAAAAAAAGAGAAUCCCCCCAAUAUUGCAGCUGGAAGCGAAUAAUCUUCCUUUGAAGAUUUUUAAAAAAAUAUUAAGAUUGAGAAAUUAAUUAUUUUCUGAUUUUGUGUUUUUUCAUUAGACACUUUCUUCAGUUUGUAAUAUUUAAGGACAUGGAAUUUUAUUAUCGUAAGUUACCGGUGUUCUGUAAUUUGGAUUAUGUUUGUCGAAUGGUUAUGUUUGGUCGUAGUUGAUGAACAAUUAUUUUUUGUGUCAAGUAUGAACAUCACAUUUUGUUUCUACAUGUGCAAAAUAUUUGUAUUUAUUAUAUUUUCUUAACUGUUUCAUUCUCUUCAAACUUUUGUGAUAUAAUUGAAUUGAGUAAUUUGAUUUGCGGGGGAAUGCAGGAAAGUAAAGCAUCAAUAUUAGAAACAUACAUUGUUAUGUAGUUGAAUUCAAUAACUUGAUUUGCAGGGAAGGCAGGAAGAGUGAAGCAUCAUUUGUCUUGUCAAUGUAUUCAAUGAAUUUUACUUCAAACAAUUUAGUAUAUAAUAUUGUAACUUUAUUGAGCGUUUAAAUUAUUUAUAUUGUAAUAAUAUGUUUGUAAUAUAUAUUAUAAUAUUGUAAUUUGUAUUUUAGACAAUUUAGUGUAUAUUAUUGUAGUUGUAAUAAUGUAAUUAUAUUGUAAUAUUGCAAUUUCCUAUGUUCAGUAUUUCCUUUAUAUCUUUUAUAUCAAAUCACAAUAAUAUAUAUAUAUAUAUAUAAUAAAAGAAAUUAAGUAUAACAACGAUUAAUAAGUUUAAUUAUAUAUAUAAAUAUAUAUUAUAUACUAUAUAAGUAUUAUAAGUAUAUAUAUAAAUAUUAGUAUAUAUAAGUAUAAGUAUAUAUAUGUAUAUCCGUAUAUAUGUAACUAUAUAUAAAUAUAAGUAAAUAAGGAAUAAGAAACAAUUAUAUAUGUAUAUUGUAAAUAUUGGAAAUCAAUACUAAUAAUUAAAUACAUAAUAAAUAAUUAAAUAAGGAAUAAGAAAUAAUUAUAUUAAAUAAGAAGAGAAUGCUUAUUUUGAGUAUUGGAAAUUUUACAGUGUAAAAUAUAGAAAAAGAUAUGCAGAACAAAGUUGUCGGUGUAUUCAGACAUAACUUUAGAGACUCCUUUUAGAUGAUUCACUCCUCUCUCUCAUUUCUCUCUUCUCUCUCAAGUUCUCUCCUCUUUUCUCUUUAGGUUUCACAAAUUUGGCACUUGCACCAUCUUUCCUCAUUUCUUAUAUCAACAGGGUUUAGAGUUUAGAGUUUAAGGUUUAGGGUUUAUAAAAAAUAAUCAAUUUUUUAUAAGAAAACCAAAAAAGAAAUAAUUUUUAUGUUACGAAAAACGUAACAAACACAGAAGCAACAAUAUCAAGAACAAUGGAGGAAGCAAACCGAUAAAGAGAUUAAAAGAAUCAACAUAAAUGAUAAAAGUAACGAAUUUUGAUAAAAAAAACCCAAAAAAUUAAAUUUAUGUUGCGAAAAAACUUAACAAACAAAUAAAAAAAUUCGUAGAAAAAAAUAAAAGCAAGCAAUGUAGAAACGAAAUGAUAAAAAAUAACUUUUUCUUCAAAAAAGAAGAAAAAAAUUGAGAAAAACGUGAAACAUAAGCAUAACAAGACUAGAGAAAUGUGAGAGUUUUGGAAGAAAUGCAUAUGGUUAGGGUUUAAAAAACGAAAAUGAAAAAAGUGAAAAGCCCUUCGUAACUUCAUGUGAUUACGUCAUCUGUCAAAAUUUCAUUAGUUCCGCACAUUUGAUGAAAAAUUAAUAUUUUUUAUUGAAAUUUCUUUAUUAUUUUAUUUAUUUAUUUUUAUUAGGUGUCAUUUUUUUUAUAUAGAAUACCGUGGUCUGCCCGCGUACAAGGCUAGUUAUUCUAUCAUUUUUCUUAUUUAUUAGGAGCAAAAUAUAGAAUCUACCAGAGCGGUGUAGAAAGAAACCUAUAUCUUGCCGUGUCAGUUAUAACCACAAUACACGUGGCAAAUUACUAUUUGUUAAUCCAUUGAUAUUUUGGUCAUUUAGUGAGGGCAACCAAGCUAUAAAUACCACUCCUUCACAGCUUCUUCCAUGCAUAUAUCGCUCUAUUCCCAGUUCCCUAUCUCAAAAGCCUUAUUUGCAGAUUUUAAUCUUUCGAUUUGAGUAUUCGUCUUAAUUCUCAAGGUACCUUUCUCUUCUCUCCCUUCUUCUUAUUUGUUUACCAAAUCGCAAUCUGAUUAGCCUCUGCUCAUUAAGUUACACUUUAGGUCUUCUUCGUUGAUCACAUUCAUGUUUCGAUCUUUUUCUUAUGAUAGUCUUUGUUGGUCCGUUUUGUCGUCGCUGAACCAGAACCAAAUAUGUCGCCUUUUCUUGUUCUUUAAUCCGUUUGUUUUAUGCAAUAUCUUAUACGGUUUUUAAUUAGGUUUGUGGUUUAAUUUCUUUUCUCGUUUUGAUGGAUCUGUAGCUUGUGGUCUGUUUGAUUCUGUAAUAUGUUUGUUGUUUGCUGUAUACUUUCUCGGUUUUUAAUUAGGGUUCGUGAUUUAUUAUUUUUUAAUCAUUUCCGAGGGCUAGAGUUUAUGGUUGAAUUAGAGUUUGUGGUCUGAUUGAUUAUGUAAUCCGUUUGUUAGCAAAAUUUCUUGUAUACUUUAUAUGAUUAUAAUUAGGGACUUGUGAUCCAAACUCUUUUAUCAUUUGAGGCAAGAGUUUUGUGGUUGAACUGUGGCUGUACUACACAUGUAUGUGUUAUUGAUGUUUUAGUUUCUGAUUGAACAGAUGCAGAUAUUCGUGAAAACUUUGACUGGCAAGACCAUAACCCUCGAGGUAGAAUCGUCUGACACUAUUGAUAAUGUCAAAGCUAAGAUCCAGGACAAAGAGGGUAUCCCUCCGGAUCAGCAGAGGCUGAUUUUUGCUGGUAAACAACUUGAGGAUGGAAGAACCCUUGCAGAUUAUAAUAUUCAGAAGGAGUCCACCCUCCACUUGGUGCUUCGUUUAAGAGGUGGCAUGCAGAUUUUUGUGAAGACUUUAACUGGAAAGACCAUAACCUUGGAGGUGGAGAGUUCAGAUACCAUUGAUAAUGUGAAAGCCAAGAUCCAAGACAAGGAGGGCAUCCCUCCGGAUCAGCAGAGGCUUAUUUUUGCUGGUAAACAGCUUGAAGACGGUAGAACCCUUGCGGAUUAUAACAUCCAGAAGGAAUCCACUCUGCACUUGGUUUUGAGGCUUCGUGGUGGCAUGCAAAUUUUUGUGAAGACUUUAACUGGGAAGACUAUAACUUUGGAGGUUGAAAACUCUGACACUAUUGAUAAUGUUAAGGCAAAGAUUCAGGACAAGGAAGGCAUCCCACCAGACCAGCAGAGGCUCAUAUUUGCUGGGAAGCAGCUGGAAGAUGGGCGUACCCUUGCGGAUUAUAACAUCCAGAAGGAAUCUACUCUGCACUUAGUGUUGAGGCUUCGUGGUGGAAUGCAGAUAUUUGUGAAGACUCUGACAGGGAAGACCAUUACCUUGGAGGUGGAGAGCUCUGAUACAAUUGAUAAUGUGAAAGCAAAGAUUCAGGACAAGGAGGGCAUUCCACCAGAUCAGCAGAGGCUUAUUUUUGCUGGUAAACAAUUGGAAGAUGGUCGCACCUUGGCAGACUACAACAUUCAGAAAGAAUCCACCCUCCACCUUGUCCUUCGCCUUCGUGGUGGCCUUUAAGCCUUUUCCUUUUGAAUGUUAACAUCUUUUGUGUACCUUGGUUUGCUGCGUGUUAGGUGUUGCUGUGAUGUGCAGCUGUUGUAUUCUGAAACUGCUCCAUUGACUAUUGCUACUACGCAUUAUUCUGAUUUAUAAAUACAGUAUUUCUAUUUUUC
This 26796-nucleotide long non-coding RNA is filed under the name Phaseolus vulgaris (common bean). RNAcentral describes it as "long non-coding RNA (PVUL_LNC004021)". The record is from RNAcentral. Lineage: Eukaryota; Viridiplantae; Streptophyta; Magnoliopsida; Fabales; Fabaceae.